AACUUUUAACAACGGAUCUCUUGGCUCUCGCAUCGAUGAAGAACGCAGCGAAAUGCGAUACGUAAUGUGAAUUGCAGAAUUCAGUGAAUCAUCGGAUCUUUGAACGCACCUUGCGCCCCUUGGAAUUCCGAGGGGCACACCCGUUUGAGUGUCGUGAACAUCCUUCAACCUUUCUUGGUUUCUUGACCGGGGAAGGCUUGGACUUUGGGGGUCUUUCAUUGCUGGCCUCUUUGAAGCCAGCUCCUCCUAAAUGGAUUAGUGUGGUCUGCUUUGCCGAUCCUUGACGUGAUAAGAUGUUUCUACGUCUUGGGUUUCGCACUGUCGCUUUAGACCCCGCUUCUAACCGUCUUGCAUUCAAGACAGAGUUUUAAACCUUGACCUCAAAUCGGGUGAGACUACCCGCUGAACUUAAGCAUUAUCAAUAAGCGGAGGCU
RNAcentral lists this unclassified non-coding RNA (434 nucleotides) under uncultured Russula. RNAcentral's name for it is "sequence contains ITS2". The stretch from base 1 to 154 matches the Rfam family "5.8S ribosomal RNA". Lineage: Eukaryota; Fungi; Basidiomycota; Agaricomycetes; Russulales; Russulaceae. The record is from RNAcentral.